UGUCGACUGCUCCUGCACCAUCUUCGCCGCCGGCGGGUAACGCCACCGCACCACCACCAGCAACACCUACUGCACCACCACCUGCAACACCUUCAUCACCACCACCUGCAACACCUUCAUCACCACCUCCGGCAACACCUUCAUCACCUCCGCCGUCAACUCCGGCGAAUCCACCACCGGUCACCCCAUCUGCUCCGCCUCCUUCUACCCCGGCAACACCUUCAUCACCACCUCCGUCGACGACUCCAUCAGCACCACCACCAUCAACACCUUCAAAUUCACCACCCUCGCCACCAACAACUCCGGCGAUAUCACCACCGUCCGGAGGAGGCACUACUCCGUCUCCACCUUCCCGGACUCCACCAAGCUCUGAUGACAGUCCAUCACCAC
Molecule: long non-coding RNA, 390 nt
Filed under: Medicago truncatula (barrel medic)
Lineage: Eukaryota; Viridiplantae; Streptophyta; Magnoliopsida; Fabales; Fabaceae
Description: long non-coding RNA (MTRU_LNC004540)
Source: RNAcentral